Non-coding RNA from Podarcis lilfordi (Lilford's wall lizard), 19210 nucleotides. The record is from the annotation of a GenBank genome assembly. NCBI's taxonomy places the organism in Eukaryota, Metazoa, Chordata, Lepidosauria, Squamata, Lacertidae.
CACACGCUGCUCGCUGCUAGACUGGCCAACGCCGCCACCCGCACAACACAACCGCUCCCAAGGCCCCGCCCCGCGCCGUAGCUCUCGCAUGUGCCCUCCUCCUCCGCCCCGCUCUCCAAGCGUCGCCUCCCAUUGGGCGGCUAAGCGCGCCCGGGGGCGUGGCUUAUGCUAAUCAGGCAGCAGGUACCGGCGACGAAGGCGUGAGGGGCUUUUUCGGGAGGGGAGGGAGAGGGGGCCUCGCUCGGCCCCAGCCACGUGUGAGCGCGAACGCCCGGCUGGUCCUGUGUUCAAAUUUCCCCUUCUUGCUAGGAGGUGGAGGGAGGAAGAAAAGGAAAAAAAGCCACCACGCGCUCCAUUGGCUCCAUUUGACCAGGGGGGGUCCCCAUUUUCUGGCACAUACAUACAUACAUGUCGAUAACUAUCGUGCAAGGGUUGAUAAGGGUUGACUUUCCUGCCUCUGCAGGACAGGACACACAGAAUUGGCUGCCUGAGGUGGCUUGCUUCACUGCCUAAUAGGAGGGCCUGAUGUACGUAAGAAUGAAGCUGCAUGGCCUAUACUGUACUGAGUCUCGCCAUUAGGACUGCCUAGUUCAGUAUUAUGGGACGUGGGUGGCGCUGUGGGUUAAACCACAGAGCCUAGGACUUGCCGAUCAGAAGCUCGGUGGUUCGAAUGCCCGUGACGGGGCGAGCUCCCAUUGCUCGGUCCCUGCUCCUGCCAACCUAGCAGUUCGAAAGCAUGUCAAAGUGCAAGCAGAUAAAUAGGUACCGCUCCGGCGGGAAGGUAAACGGCGUUUUCGUGCGCUGCUCUGGUUUGCCAGAAGCGGCCUAGUCAUGCUGGCCACAUGACCCGGAAGCUGACCUCGGCCAAUAAAGCGAGAUGAGCGCCGCAACCCCAGAGUCUGUCACAACUGGACCUAAAGGUCAGGGGUCCCUUUACCUUUACCUUAGUUCAGUAUUGUCUACUGUAAACAGCGUUUCCUGGCACUCGUCAUGGUGUCCCGUUGCGCCAGAAGCAGUUUAGUCAUAGCCACAUGACCCAGAAAGCUGUCUGCGGACAAACGCCGGCUCCCUCGGCCUGGAAGCGAGAUGAGCGCCACAAUCCCAUAGUCGCCUUUGACUGGACUUAACCGUCCUUUACCUUACAUUGAUUGGCAGCAGCUCUCUGGGUGUUUCAGGCAGCAAGUCCCAACCAGCCCUACUCGGAGAUGCCACAGAUUGAAUGUGGGGCGUUCUGCAUGCAAGGCAGAUGCUCUGCCACAGAGCUGUAGCCCUCCCCUCAGGUCUGAUGGCUUCUGUUUUCUUACUGCUGCCAUGCCAGAAAUGACUCAACAUGUGUAUUUGCAGGGGUGGCAUGGGUUGGGGUAGGAAGAUAAUCCAGGAAAUGAUAUGGGUGCUGCCAGAAAUGUACUUCGACACAGUAGCUGAACCCUUCAUGGGUUGCCAGGCUUCAUAGUAAUGCUGGCACAUGGGAAGCUAGCUAGCCUGGACAUCUGUUCAAGCAAAACAGCAAAUACAGUACAAUACUGUAUGUGCAUUUGAAUGUAUGUUAUCUACAGAAACAAAGCACCACCACAUUAUAUAGCAUUAAAGUAUGGCAUGUCUAUUCCUUAUGACAUGACACACUUUGAACAACCCAUUGUGCCAUAUUUUGAUUCACAGCUGACAGACCAGCAGAGCAUCUAUAACGUUUCCCUAGGACUGGGUAUUCUCCAGAUGUGUUCGACUCAAACUCUCAGCAGUCCCAGCUAGGGUUGCUACCCGUCCCUAGAAAAACGUGAACGUCCUUUUUUGGAGAAAACUGUCCCAUGCCCUGUUUGGACUUCAAAUGGGAUGCCUUUUUUCACAUAUUCAAGCUCCUCUUCCUCCUCAAAACUGCAGGCAGAGGGUGGGUCACGGAGAGUGAGGGAGUUUGCAGUGCAUGGGCCUGCUAUAGUGGAGUCUCAGGUUUUCCGCAGGCAGGGGGGUGGCCGAUAGGUCGGAGAGCAAGAGGUGGCUUGCAGGGGCCUUUGUCAGGGUGUGGUGUGGUAGAGCUUUUGCGUGGGCAGAGGGGGUAGGGGUUGGUCGGACUUGGAGAGCGAGUCCCAGCUAUAUAUGCAAUGUGCAAUAUUUUUCUUACAGUUGUAAAUCAUAGUGCUUUUGUUCUUUUUUUAUUGAAGAAACCACUGUAAACCCCGUGUGCCAUUGCAGUGGGUUGCUCUGAAGUAAUUUCUGCACUAGGUAAAGUAAUUUUUAGCCCCCCCGCCAGGCCCCUAUUUUGCCUGACCAAAGGUAGCAACUGGCAGCCAGUAAAAAUCUGGGAAAGUGGGAGUUGGGGUUCAAUAACAUAUGGAUUACUUAGGGUAUGAUUGGCUAACCCUGCUGUGGGUGCACCAAUGCCUGUGGUACGUAACACCUAAUUUUAACGCAUGUAAGGUUGCUUUGGUAGGUCUUCUUUGGCCUUUGCUCCCUCCACUUAAAGCUGAACCAUGACCAACACAUACCUUUUAAGAUCCUGGUCUUUUCUCAAGAAUCUGCAAUUCUUCACCCUGAGCAUUGGUAGAGACAUGAGGGGAAUCUUUACACCCUUCAGCUUUGCUGCAUCAGACAACAAUUUGGUUUAACUUCUCAGCAGAAUUUAAAACUAACUUGCGGACGAAGACAAAACCCACCAUUUGCUCAAAUCUUUUUCCUAUUGCUUUCAGUCUGCUUCUAACGUAUUUCUCACUCGUUCAUUUUCUUUUCAUGCUGUGGCUAAGCAAUAUGCUCCACUAGGUGAGCUUUAAUUAAAGGCACUCGUUUCCCUUCUCAAGAGUUCAGCUGCAGCUGGGCCCUCUUGUCAGCCAGAUGAUUGCUUGCAUCCAGCCAUAUCUUAAGCACACAGUAGUUCAUCUGUAAGCCCAGUUUAUCUGAGAUGCCCAUGAAAUACUAGCCCCAUACAGCAAUCCGAAAUGCAGAAGUCAGUGACAGAGGGCAAAGGCAUGCAGGGGGAAAGUGUGAGUUGAAUGGAAUGGGUCUUUGGUAAAAGGUCAAAGGUUGGAACAAGCUGACCACCUAAGCAGUGAAUAGUGGGCCUGUUUAACAACAAUAAAAGAGAGUGUUUGUACUUUGGGGGCUAUUACAUCAGCAUUUGUUGGCUAUGCUGGUCACGCAUCGCUGGAGGAUGGAUGGGUGAGGAUUGCUCAACAGUUAGUCUUGCUUGAAACAAGCCUUUUUGAAAACUUGCUUCUCUUUAGCCAAGAGCUACUGGAAACACAUGCUCUCAUAAGCUUUAGAAGAGUCAGAAAGGCAUCUGAGGGCUGAACAGUACGGUAGGUUAUUUCCAGCUGAAAAAGUAAAGACAUUCUAUGGCACUGUAGGAUCUAUCAAAUGGCAUGUGGUAUCAUUAUACAGAGUGCUUUAAAAUACGGUAAAGGUAAAGGGACCCCUGAUCAUUAGGUCCAGUCGUGGCUGACUCUGGGGUUGCGGCGCUCAUCUCGCUUUAUUGGCCGAGGGAGCCGGCAUACAGCUUCCAGUUCAUGUGGCCAGCAUGACUAAGCCGCUUCUGGCGAACCAGAGCAGAGCACGGAAACGCCGUUUACCUUCCCGCCGGAGAGGUAAUGGUACCUAUUUAUCUACUUGCACUUUGACAUGCUUUCGAACUGCUAGGUUGGCAGGAGCACGGACUGAGCAACGGUACCUUAAAAAAAACACCAGGAAAUGCAUUAAAGAGCUGAGCAUCAGGAUUAAGGUACUCUAAAGUCUAAAACAUUUGUGGACCUAUGAAAUACUAUCAUAUAUUACUAUUAAUUAUUAUACAUGAUGCUUUAAAAUACCUUAAAAUAGCAGUAAGUGUUUCUGCUAUUGGAGCCAUAGUGAGCGUGAGAUUGUGGGUGGGUUUGUAUUUGGUCAGCAACUCCCCGUGCAUCUUCCAGAAUUCUGAAAUUUUAAAGUUUUAGACAUAUCAUGCUUUGAGCAGACCCACUGAAAUCCAUGGGAAUUGGGUUAGCCACAACUACCUGAAUUUCUACUGAUUUCAAUGGUUUUACUCUAAACAUGACUAAGUCUGGGUCCAGCCAAUUAAGUGGAAGUAACCUCCAAUGGAUUUUAGUGGGAAAUGCUUUCAAGCAAGUUGCUUUGGUUUGCAAUCCGAAGCACACACCUACCCUGGGAAUAAGCAGCACUAAAGCCAGUGGGGCUGACUGCCUAAAAGGCAGUAAGAUACUUGUGUUUGCUACCCUUGAGUAUAUGCCGGACAUUAUAAGCCCCCUCCCCCCCCUUCUGCAAUGAUCUGCUUUACUCAUAAUUUCAAGAAAUAUGUAUAGUUCCUGGGUAAAGUAGAACAUUGCAAAAACAAGGCAUUGAACUGUUACUCAUUUAACCCAUAAGGCCAAGGACAUCCCUAGACUUUGUCCUCCUUAACAAACAACAGUGGAGUGCUGUUGCAAAGAGGGCUGCAUACAGCUUCCAGAAAAAAAUGCAGUCUUUUGCAGCCUUCAGAAUCAAGGCAAAGCACAAGUUUCAAAAUUCCGUAAGGCUAUGCUCAUUGGUCUUGAAACCUAGCGCCACACUCCUGUAUGGGCCUUGCACAUUUAUUAGUAGUUAAUGAACAAAACUAAUGCAGGUUAGAAUGUGGAUUAUUUCUAUAUCUGACUAAUCAUACUCAUUAAAACCAAUGGACUUAAAUUACCGUAGUAAUGAUCAUUGGUUUCAAUGGGUCUUUUCUGAGUUUGACUUAGUAAUAUGGUUACUGGCUUACUAGCAGCAAAAAAAAAUACAAAAAAAUUACCGUAUUUCACAACCCAUAGUAACCAAUGAGUAUAAGCUGAUUUUAACCAUAUUUGACCCUAGAAUAAGGUCUAGGGUCAACAGGUUAACAUUUAGUAGUUAAUCCAUCAUUUUUUCUUUCCCCAAAGGAAUUUGGGGGGGUAAUGCAUAAAAAAUAUGAUUGCCUUGUUGUUAGCAGCUCUAUGCACAGAAAUAGCGAACCAUUGGAAAGUCCCAGUCCUGCCCUGUUGAAAUAGUUGGAUGAAUAAAAUUGGGACUGUCAGAACGACUGACUCAACACUGAAGGGUUGUGGGAGGCAUAUCAAAAGGUAGUAACUUCGCUUUGACUUUGUUUCUUUUCAUUAUAAACGCUUGCCCCUUUCCCAACAGCUCGGCUGGCUUCCCAGGGAUGCCGGUACCUGCAACCGUGUUACAUUUGAGUUUUGGUAUGUGACACUGUGUUUGUAUUGAGAAUGCUCUUUGUGCACCACUUCGUUGUGCGUUAUUUCUUAAACCAAAUGUUGUUUGGUAUUUGUAUUCUCAAAAAACAACAACAUUAAAUUAAAAAUAAAGCUUUUGUAAAUAUAUAAACCCAUUACAGAGUUGCAAGCUAUCAGUUCUGCCAAUAGUAAAUCUAGAGGAAGAACAAAUAAAGGCACCGAAUGCAGAAAGAUUAAAAAGAAAUUGGUUCCUUCGAUGGAUUGGUGCUAUAAAUGCCAAAAUGAAGUGAGAGUAAACAAAUGUAAAAUAAUUCCAUGUGUGGUCCAUGGUCAGUGGUAGAGCACAUGGUUUGCAUUGCAGAGGGUCCCAGGUUCAAUAUCUGCCAUCUCCAGGCAGAGAAAGAAUAGUCUCCUGCCUGUAACCUUGGAGAGCAUCUGCCAGUGAUAUAGACAAUGCUGAGGUAGAUGGUCUGAUUCAGAGUUUCCCAAACUUGGGUCUCCAGCUGUUUUUGGACUACAAUUCCCAUCAUUCCUGACCACUGGUCCUUCUAGCUAAGGACUGAUGGGAAUUGUAGUCCAACAACAGCUCAAGGCCCAGGUUUGGGAAACCCUGGUCUGACUCAAUAUAAGGCAGCUUCCUAUGUUGCUAUGUACUGCUUUGGGAUCCUCUGAUUCCCUAUUCUUGUGAAACUGAGCUUGCACAACUAAUGGCUUCAGUAGCAAUUGCAGUAUCUGAUCUCCAGAUUCCUCCAUGUUCCAGGAUGUUUUGUCCCUGUUGCAAAGUUUACUUUUUAAGAUCAAUGUUUCAGAGGUAAGGGAAUGGCAUGAAACAAGAGCUAUGCCCUUACCAACUGUGUUUUGGUUAGUAUAAUUGCCGUAGUGAAUUCACUGCUCAUCUGUCCACCACAUGAAUGACAGAAAAACAUUCCUCAUCGCCCUUUAUCCAGCAAAACUUUCAUCAUACAAUACUAUGAAUUUCUGCCAGUUUUUCAGACAUGUGCUAACAGCCCUACUGGAUUUCAUAAAUAUUCCAUUUGGAUCUGACUUUUUGACCACGAAUGUAUCUGGAUACAUGAGGAACUUUAUGCAAAGCUUUCAGUUGGGGCACUUAAGUAAACAAGAGGCUAAGAAGGGAAGCAGAAAUGUAGCUAAAAGCUGCACAUGGUAUUUGAGAAAUUUCAAGGUGGAGCUAAAAGGAAUUCACCAAAUCACUACAGAAAUGCCAUAAGGUCCUCAGCUUCCUGAUUUUCUGCCUUUAUUUGUCCUCUGCCCUUACAAGUCCACUAUAACAGCAGGUGGGUUGGGAUCUGCUACUGGAUGACAGAAUGACCUAAGGUGGGUGAUGGCAGCAGCACGACAACCAUACAAAUACACAGCAAGAAAAUAGGAAGUGGGUCCCCAGAUGCAUAUCUGAGCUAAAGGCGGGUCCUCAGUCUGCAAAGCUAACAACUAUACAACUCGUGAUAUGACAUCAUCACCCUGUGCCUGCCCUCCCAGCCAAUGAUAUGAGGUGGAAGGGUGGGAGCGGUACAGUGCAGGUAUGUUGUAAUAGAGCAGGCCUGGCCAAACCUGGCCCACAGCUGUUUUGAGACUACAACUCCCAUCAUCCCUAGCUAACAGGACCAGUGCUCAGGGAUGAUGGGAAUUGUAGUCCCAAACCAGCGGGAGGGCCAAGUUUGGCCAUGCCUAUAACAGAGGUUUAGAAGAAGAGAUAGAAAAGCGUGCAGCAGCAGCUAUGAAUAUCUCAUAACGUUCAUGCACUAGGAUGGAUCUUUAUAACUUUCUAAUAGCUAUUCAUCCUUCUAUUUGAAUUUAUCUAGUCCUUUUUCAUAUUCAGCUAUCCUGCAGCCCACUCUACUGGUUCUGCUAAUAACAGUUCAUCCACAAACUGUGUAAAAUAAGUCAAUUCUCUCUGUGAUGGCAUGGCCUGAAGGCAUGCAGCCAGCCCCAUGAGAAGGGAGAGAGGCAAGCAAACCAACUAACUAAACCAACCCUUCUUUCUUCUUAACUUAACCACUGCCACUAUGUAGAAUUGUAGAUGCAUAUACAUAUUUUUCUCUGCCUGCUUCCACUAAACAACUGUUUAGCCUUCUGGGCUUUAAUUGCUGCAACCCACUCCCAAUACUUGUUCCCUUAGGUAACAGCUCAGUAAAAUUGUUUUAGAAAAGUAGUUACUGAUAGGGGCAAAUUUUCCAGAUUUCAGUUCAUGUUUCCCAAGCCCAAAAUAAUUGUAUAUGUUUUUAAUACAAUUCUAUACUUUUUUCCUUUUCUAAAAGUGAAAGAGUCCUAAGGAAUGUAACAUUUAGCAAAGAGUGCCUUUAAACAAACCUUCAUUUCAUCUGGAAUUUCACUUGAUUAGAGGAAAGUACUCUUUCACACCCAUAAUUCAUUGAUGGAAUUUGCUGCCAGAAUAGGGUGGCAACGACCACUUGGUUAUGUUGCUUUAACACGUAGUAAGUCUAUCAGGCACUAGUUAUGAAGUAAGCAGGGGUAUUCUGAUAAACAACAGACAAAUAAAGUUCAAGGAAAAUCACCUUUAUUUCAUAACUUAUGGUCCCCAGUCCAGACACCUCCUACAGUUAUACGGACUCUCCAGAUUCAGAGGCAGCAUACUGAUAAUCACAGGUGAAGAGAGUACUGUUGUUACACUCAUGUCCUGCUUGUGGCUUCCACAAAGCCUUCUACUUGGCUAUUGUGGAGGCAGCAAGCUGGACUAGAUAGUCUUGCGGUCUGAUUCAUUCAGCAGGCCUCCUCUUACAUUCUUAAUAUUUAUUUCUGGAUAAUGAAAUUGUAUCCAGUUGAAUUUGCCCCCAUCCACAUGUGUUUUCAACACAUCCAGCCAGUUUGUUCCAAAAAGGUUUUUUAAAAGAUGAGAGGUCCAUAAAUCUCUGUGGAGGAACGGAUCCAAACAGGCAUUGUGCUCUGUUGUGUGUGCUUAGGUUUUCAUAUGUUUUUGCAUUCCACAAAAGCAGAUAAGGGAUUCCAAGUCCAUCUAAGCAAUGGGGCUCUGUUAGUAGAAAAUGUUAACGAUGCAUAUUAGCACAGGGCAUUGAACGGGAGCUUCAUCUGCUCUUGUAGCAUUAGUGCAAGCAAAAUUCUAACCAGAGAGAAACGGCUUCCCUACUGACAUGGGCAAGAGAAGGUUCCUGCACAGCUGUUAUUGAUUUCAAUGGGGCAUGUGCAGGAGAACCUCCCAGUGAAUUAUGCCGCUUUUAAAAGGAUGUGCUUUUAUUUUUCCACACAAUUAUCACCGAAGCAACCAGCCUGUCCCAUUUAAGCAAAAACAAAAUACAGAAAGCAAGCCACAACACUGCCCCUCUAUUUUGCACAUUAAAAACAAAACAAAAUUGUUUGGAGGCUGUGUACUUUCCCCGCACCUGCACUAUGCUGGAGUGAACAUCAAUCUACAAACAUGGGACAAGCCGAAAGGCAAAUCCUCCCCUCUCUGUUCACUCUGUUGCCCCCCCCCCCCACUUUUACACAAAAGGAAAAAAACUGGUUCUCAGGAGAAGGGUGGGGGAGGUCAGGACAAAACAUGCAGUAAGAAGUCUUGUUUUUUAUGCCAAUCUCAACUAUUUUGUUUGGCGUUCAGCUGCACAUUCUUUGCCAGCGCUCAAUAUUAUGCUGCAACAGGCACAAAUAGAACAGUAACUAAGGAGCAGACUAGCAUGUUAAUAUUUCAGACAUCAGGAAAAAAAGCCCAUCUUUGAUCAAAUGUAGGAAGCUCUGUGAUGUACUCGAGAGUAUGUCUAUGUACUUGUGGGUCUCCUAUACAGUAUAGCACUUUUGUCAUGCAGAAAGUUAGUUACCUAAGUUUCAGAAGGGACAUUAGUUCCUUGGGGGGAGGGGAACCUGAUAUCCAUCCAAGCAUUGCUAUGAAGGCAGAAGAGCUUUUAGGUCCAGUCACACAUAAGCAAGGUUUAUGUACCAAUAGUUGUUGUUUUUUAAAUCGAAUGUUUCAGUAGAGAUCUGGUCUACAAGCCAGUGCUGUGUAGUGGUUAGAGUGUUGGACCUGGGAGACUAGAGUUCAAAUCACCGCUCAGCCAUGAAGCUCACUGGGUGAUCUUUGGUGAAGCCACUGCCUCUCAGCCUAACCUAACAAAGUGUUUUUUGUGGAGAUGAAAUGAAGAGGGGGAGAACAAUGCACACCAUAUUGAGUUCCUUGGAGAAAAUUGUGAGAUAUCAGUGUAAAUAAUAUAAUAACAAUAAGAAUAGAAUUCUACACACAGAAAGACCAUUUAACUCUCAUUACCUUCAGUGACAUUUAGGGUGCCUGAGUACAGGACUGCAGCCAUGAUUGAAAUAUCACACAGGCCUCUUGCAGGGACUUAGGGCAGGGUUGGGGAACCAGCAUCCCUCCAGAUGUUGCUGGACUAGUUUCUUUCACCCCUGACUAUUGGCCCUAUGUGCUGAGACUUAUGGGAACUGGAGUCCAGCAUUUCAUAGAGUUGGAAGGGACCGCAAGGGUCAUCUGGUCCAACCCCCUGCAAUGCAGGAAUCUUUUGCCCAAUGUGGGGCUUGAACCCAGGACCCUGAGAUUAAGCACCCCAUGCUCUACCGGCUGAGCUAUCCCAGGUCCAUAGGGGGUGCAAAAACUGGAGACUCAUGACAGCUGCUGUCCUAGAUUCAAAGAAGGAGCAUGGACAUCACUUCGAACCAAAUGGUUGUACCUUUGAGGAAACUGGUGACAUACAGAGAUUCUAAAAUGAUGUCUUAUGGCUUCAAAGCUGAAAGCUGACAAUAGACCACAGUAGCUUGAAACUUUCACUUAAUUUUCUGACAGAACACUUGUCCUUUAGCAGUUGCAUGACAGGCAGAAUUUCAGCACAUGAUACUUUCCCAUGAAUAAAGAGGUGUUGUGACCAAAAUCUUUACCAGUUGAAUUUCUACCCGUGUUGCCACUAUUAAAGACUCCGGAAAACCCAGUAGAGGGGAAAUGCAUUGCCUUUGAGUGGGGAAGAAAUCGAUUUCCCUUUAGGAAUAAAUUGGAAAGGAGGGCUACAAGGAAGGACUUGGUUCACUUCAGGCACAGGCAAACUCGGCCCUUCAUAUGUUUUGGGACUACAACUCCCAUCAUCCCUGAACACUGGUCCUGUUAGCUAGGGAUGAUGGGAGUUGUAGUCUGAAAAACAUCUGGAGGGCCAAGUUUGCCUAUGCCUGGUUCACUUAGUGCAACAUUCAAACCUUCCUUAUUACAAGGUGUUCUGUACAUGCCCUAAAGUAAGUAAAGGAACCCCAAUUUUUAUAUAUCUAAAAAUGUGGUAAUCAGUCAUAAAGUCACCCGACUUCAGCUUAUAACCCAAAAUGUCCAGAGUUUUUAUUAUUCCCCUUGAUGUACUGAAUUCCAUAAAAUGGAUGGCAUGCUGGGUGAAGUAUUUCCCUUGAUAAAGCAUUUCAUUCCAUGUCCCCCUCCCUAACACUUGCCCCACUGAGGAAUGUAAACUAAAUGAGUGAUUAGCUUCCAUGUCAGCCUGCCUACAUUUUGAUCUCUGAAACCAAACAAAAACCCUCAUAAUUUUUCUUCGCAGAACAACUGCCCGCUUGGAUGACUGCCAGUGCACUGAAGUGAAAUCCUGACAAGUCAGAGGCACGGUGAGCUGGUAGUUCUCGUGUGGGACUGAAAUGGGUGUUCAAACAGUUCCCCAUGGGGUUGUACUUCCCCCAAAAGAGCACAGGUACAUAGUUUUGGAAGAUCCAGCAUUGUCACUCAAGCACCAAAUGUCUUGGGUGGCUCAGAGUGCCUUUGAAGGAGCUUCAGCUGGUUUGCCAGCUGCAAUUAUUCCUGGACAGAGAUAGCCUUGCUAUGGUGAUUCAUACUCUGGUAAAUUCCCAGCUGGAUUUCUGCGAUGUGUUAUAUACCUGGGACUGCCUGUAAGAUGCCCUGGAAGCUUCAGUUAGUGCAGCGCUUGCUUAGCUGUCAGAAUCUUGACUGGUAUAUCCAGCAUUGCUCUUAUUAUACCUGUUUGAAUUCCAUUUGCUUCUGAGCCCAAUUUUAGGUGCUUGGGACUCGGGUACCUGAAGAAAUGCCUCUCCUUAUAUCACCGUGUCUUAAGGUCUUCUGCAGAGGCCCUUCUCCAAUUUUUUUCUUCUUCCGUUUAUAUCCCACCUUUCUUCCAAGAAGUUGAAGGUAAUGUAUAUGGCUCGCCCCACCCCCUCUUCACAACAGUCCUGUGAACUGGGCUGAGAUACAGGGAAUGAUCUGCAGCCACAUACUGCGCUUCAAGGCUGAUUUGAACUCUGGUCUCCCAUGUCCUAGUCCAACACUCUAACCGCCAUGCACCAAAGGCUCUUAACAGAGAUACAUUUUGCACAAAAGAGAGAGGGCCUUUUCUGUGUCCCAACUUCGGAAUGCCCUCCCGAAGACGACCUGUCUGGUGCUUUUUAACAUCACCAGGCAAAUAUCUUCCUACUUGUUCAGGCAUUUGAGAUGGUAUCUUAAUUAAAACUGCCUCCUCUGCUACUUAGAGUUAUGUUUUUAUCGUGCUGCUUAUUGUCGGCAUGUAGUAUUCAUAUGUGAAUAGUUUCAUACACACUUUUGUACACCACCCUGGAAACUUCUGCUUAAGACCAGUGGCGUAGCGUGGGUUGUCAGCACCUGGGGCAAGGCAAGUAAUUUGCGCCCCCUAACCCGUGGAUUUUAGUAGGGGCAGAGAGCUGCGAGUGUGAGCGCGCCCCCCCAGAUGUUGCGCCCGGUGCGGCCAGCCCCCCCUGCACCCCCCACGCUACGCCACUGCUUAAGACAUUUUAAGAAUAAAUACAUGGAUUGCAGCCUCAGACAUAUAGAAAUCUUGGCUUCUGGGUAGGAUUUGAGAUUUAUUAUACAGUAGUUCUACAGAAAAUCGUCUUUGGCAGCAGAUCCUCCCAAAAGUAGUGGGGUUUGGGAACCCUUCACUGUGUAUCCUCGCUCCUCUUCCUGUUGAACAGAGGGCAGGAAUUCAGCAGAGCACAGCGUAACUGAGAAAUAUUUGUGUUGGUCUUAAGAUUAUUGUGGAAUGUUAUCACAAGGAGUCAUUAUAUCCCCACAGCUUGCAUCACCACUCUUUGCACUGUAGAAGCUGUGGGUUGAUUGUCUUUUAUUUUUUUACUUGAUUCAAAAAGUUGUUACACUGUCUGUCAACAAGGUAAAAAUAAAAAUCCCAGGGAAAAUUAUAUAAUGCCAGAGAACACAUCCUGCUUUUAAUACACUCUGUUUCUCGGUGAUCCGUUUUCUUCAAGAUAACACUGCAUUAAUAUUCGCUGAUUAGGGAAAGAGUAACAGCUGACAUAAUGUGAUGCUUCUGUUCUCUGGUGCUUAAGUACUUGACAACUUCUAAAAUGCCAAGGCUUCAUUGCUCCCAUUCCACCCUGGUGGUAUUCUUUAUCCUUCAAGCAAGUGGCAGAAUAUGCUGCAUUUCAGGAUUUGUCCAGUGUUCCCCCAAAACAUUUUUCUAUCUGCUGCUGGUUUUAUGGGUAUUUGCUUUAUAUUUGACUGCAGUGUUCACCUUCUAUGUAUAUCCUACAUCAAGAUGAACAGAAUGAGUUUUAAAAUUAACAGCAGCAGCAGUAACAACAACAGCAGAAAGCCGUACACAACAAAAAUGUGCAUUUGCUUCUGCUGUCAAACAAUGGGCUAACAAUUUUGUUGAGACAUCAAUGACUCAAUUUGCUUCCUGCGAGUUUCCAUUAGCAAACAGGAAUCUAGAUUACUUUUGCCAGGAGGCAUUACAAUGCUAUCAUUAAUUUGUGUCGCACCCGCACAUCAGGGCACCAAUCAGCUUUUUAAUAAUUUUUUUUGUUUACUUGGAGAGAAUGUUCAGCCAAGUAGAGUUGAAAGGGUAUCAUUGCAGCAGCAUUGAUUGUGAAGGCUUGUUGUGGUCAAAAGAAGAGAAAUUGCUUUUUUAAAAAAACCUGAAAGCUCUCAGCAGAAAUUGUAGCUGUUUUGCAGAAUGCUCAUUCUUCUCUCUCUGCAAUAGUCCUUCUACCCAGCCUGUGGGAUUUCUGACCCUUAGUUACUUAACUUGGUUUAUCUCCACAAUAAUUAUACGUUUUCUGUGACUGCUGAAUGGUCUCAUGCGCACAAUAUUUGUGAUGGAGGUUCCAACAAAAAAAAUUGGGGCUACUGGAAACCUGGAGAGCUUCUACCAGUUAAUCCUGAACUAGAUGGACCAAUGGUCUGAUUUAGUAUAAGGGAACAUCCUAUGUUCCUUUGAGCAGUUUGCGGAGAGAGCACAGAUUUGUAUAUAAAUUAUAUAAAUAAAUAUGUAAUGAUAAGCCACUGUGUGCAUGUGCAUUCAGCUGCAACAAUCCUGAGGAACACAAACCAGGAUAAGCAAAAUGUAUUAGCUAAAAGGGAGAAGGAACCACAGUUGGCGCAGACAUAAGAUUGCAUCGGGGUUAACAAUAGUAAGGCAAGAAAAGAGAUGAAGUGAGUGAGCCCAUAUAUAACCAACAGCAUGUGAAGUUGGCACAAGAUCUUCGUGCGGGGUGGGGAACAUUUGUCCCUCCAGGUGCUGCUGAACUACAAUUUCCAUCCUCCCUGGCCGUUAGCCAUGCUUGCUGUGACUGAUAAGAUUUGUAGUUCAGUAACAUCUAGAGGGCCAAGGGUGCUCCACCCCUGCAUUAGUGGCACUGAGGAUGUAAUCACACAACAUAUAUUUUCUUGGGAUAAGAGACACAGACUAUGUGUGGAGCUUUCUGAGAUCUUCUAAUACACAAGCCUUUCCAGGUGAUAAUUUUAUAGCACAAAAAUUGCAACAUUUGUUGAGUUGGAUCCAGCUACCUUGAAGUAGCUAUUGGGAUGUUUUGCUUUCAGAGGACUUAAUCUGUGAUGUUUUGCCAAUGGGGAAAAGCAGCACCCUUCUGUUCACUAACGCAUGAGCAAUUUUAUUUUUAAUCUUCUUUCUCUCUUGUAAUGUCCUGGAAGUGAUACUGGGAGUAUCUCAAAAGGCAGCAUUGCUUUGUCCCUUCUGCCCCCUGACUGUCUCACUACUUCCUUUCUUUUUGAAAAACCUUGCUUGGUAUGCAAAUAUGCAUAAUCAGCACUAUGCAUAAAUCAGCACAUGUAGCCAUGACUGGGGCUAAUAGGCCCAUUGUAAGCUUGGUGGGCAAAUGCUCCACUCUGGCUAACACCAGCCUCCUUUAUUUUUAACCAGGUUGUUGUUGUUGGGCAUCUAUCUGUCUCAGUUGACAAUGGAGGAGUGUGCCUUUGGGGGUGAAGUCAAACUGUUGGAAGGUUACAGCACCUGCUGUGGCUGUAGGGACUGAUGCAGGAGAGGCAUGUUUUGUUGAAGCUAGGACAGAUGAAGGCGGCUGGUUGUGCAGCUGCAGCUGCACCAUGCUGUUCCUUCUCUUUGCACUCCUCCCAGCAGUCAUGGUAUGAAUGCACAACCUGUCUGUCUGUCUGUCUCCAGGCACUGCAGUUGUCAGCAAGUGAUUCCCAGACGGUGGGGGUUGAAGUUGCCAGCCUUCAUGUCACUUUUGCAGACAUCUUUGUAACACAGAGUUGGUUUGCCUGUGACUGAAGCCAGCUCCCUGUAGAGCACGUCCCUGGGGAUCCUGACAUCUUCCAUUCUGUGUACAUGACCAAGCCAGCGUAGAUGUCGCUGAGACAGGAGUGCAAACAUGCUGGGAAUGUGGGCUUAGGAGAAGAGCGUAUCUUUGUUUGAGACACUGUCCUGCCAUGUGAUGCCCCAAAUCUUCCUGAUGUAGCGCAUGUGGAAGGCGUUGAGGCGUCGCUCCUGGUGGUUGUAAGCUGCCCAAAACUCACUUCCAUGAAGCCCCAUGCUCAACACGCAAACUUGGUAGACCUUCAUUUUGGUAUUGGUCCAAAUGUUAGCACCACAUUUUCCCAUACCCUUUUGAAGAAGUGAGCCACUGCCAUAGCUGCCUUGCUAAUAAGCUUGUCCAGCUCAGCGUCGACAAGAGGUUCUUGGUUAUGGUGGAACCCAGGUAGGCAAAAAUGUCUACCACCUCAAGCGUGUGCUGAUACAUGGAGUGCUGGUGACAUCCUGACCCAGGAAGUACAGCACUGUAAAGAGAAGUGCUGGAGCAUGUGGUUGCCGCUGUUACCAGCUUCAUUAUCCUCAGUGCUUUUUUCUAGAAAAAGAGGUGCCAGAACUCACCUUGUUCUCUUAUAAUGACAAUGGCACCCACCUGAGAUGGGCUGGAACUGAGUUCUGAUGAGUUCCAGCUGAAAAAAUGCUCUGAUUAUCCCCAAUGCCUCUGGUCCCCAAACCUUGGAAUACGCUGUAUCAAGGAUGGGAGGCAGAGAGGCAUUGGGCAUAAUGAAGGUGCUGGCAGCAGCUGCCUUGUUCUUCAUAGCACUGGGCUGAAAGAGUGUUGGCAGAAGGAGUUGUGAUGCUUUCAGCACCACUGCCGGACUUCACAGUUGCCUUCCACUGCUACCCCUAUCGCUCCUUGGUGAGCUUGGGGAAGGCAGAGGAGCACCAAAGAGCCAUCAGAGGCACCAUGCCCAGUGCCCGUUCUCAAACCUAGUGCCAGGCCUAUUAACAUUGGCUAGAGUAUCGAGAGAUGAAUAUAGCUGGCUGUUAUCCCCUUUCUCUUGGAGGCCCCCUAGCAAUGGGCUGCUUGUUUUUUUGUUCAGGGUGGAGUGGAGUGGUGUUCAAUGGCACUAAACUCCCUUUUGUUAAGUGUGCUUUGUUGCUAAUGAAGGCAGGAAUCAUUUUCCCCACCCCUCCACUAAAAUCUCAAGGAUGGCUAUACUGAUUCCAGAACACGUCAGCUAUUUUCAUUAGAUUUUCUGCUUACAUUUUAGAGGCAUAAACUAAUUCCCCAAAUCUACAUUCCUUUUUAUCAACAACAUUUCCUCGGAUGGUAGUGGAUGUUGCACGAUUUCAAGAAUGUGAGGCCCCUAAUCCACAAUUCACCACAAAGCUCAGUCAUCCAAACAAACCUUUUUUGUGAUCCUUACCUUUCCUCUAGCAAAACCUACCCACUAAAGACUUGAGUGCAUCGUUCUAAUGAUUUCAAUUUAGCUAUUGGUACAGCUGCUCUAAAAUUGCUUUGCAAAACUCCAAGCAUUUGAUUGUGCAAAGUUCCCCAGUCUUUCAACAUCUUAUCAUGAAAACUUUGGAAAUGUAUAUAAUUCCGUCUAAUACAACAGUUUCCACCUCAGGUUUAUGAUAGGUCUAUUAAUCAGUCAUCGCUGAAGGUUUGGGAGCUCCCAUUUCAUCACAGCCAUUCCUACAUCUAUCAGUCAAUUAUCUUUAUUUCUUAGCAUCUUUUUAAUUAUGUUUGACUAUGGAUGACGUAGGCUAGGGGGCUUCACGAUUGCAAGUGUACUAGAAGCCUGAAGCCAAAGAGCAGGCUGCUUAGGAAAAAAAAGUGCAAUAUCUUUCCCAUUACCUCUUUGCCCUCCUUACCUAGCAGUCACCAGUGCUGUAACCUGGUGAUGGUAGUAACAAUGGAUUGUAAGAACUCUCGUCUGGUAAUAAAGAAUUAUUUUCUGAAGAAGGCGAUUGGAGGAGCAGCUGCAGACAUUCCUGGAUAAGACUGAUUAUCUGGAUCCAUGUCAGUGUAGGUUCAGGCUGCUCUUUCUUCUCUAUAUCUCAGCAGCUUUUGGUACCAUUGACUAUGGUAUCUUUCUGGACCAAUGUCCUACCUGCAGGGUCAGGUAAAUAAAGUAAUAUUGGGAGAGUGCUCUUCAGCCCCCUAGUGUUUAUGCUGUGGGCUGCCACAGGGCACUACUUUCUCCCCAAAGCAACUACUCUAUUCCAAACUUAAAAAUGGAAAGUGGUUAACAAAAGAGGUUUAAAGACUCUCUCAAGGCAAAUCUAAUAAAAUGUAGUAUAAACACCAACAAUUGGGAAACACUGGCAUGUGAGCAUUCCAAUUGAAGAACAGCCUUUACCAAAGGUGUCAUGGACUUUGAAGACGCUCAAACUCAGGAUGAAAGGGAGAAACAUGUUAAGAGGAAGGCACGUUUGGCAAACCCUCAUCAUGAUCAACUCCCGUCUGGAAUCCUAUGUCCCCCCUGUGGAAGGACAUGUGGAUCCAGAAUUGGCUUCCACAGUCACUUACGGACUCACUGUUAAGACCGUGUUCAUGGAAGACAAUCUUACUUGGCUAUGAGUGAUCGCCAAAGAAGAAGAUGACUACUUUCUCCCCAGUGCUAUGAAGCCAUACUAAGCCAUUAGGAGUGGUCGUUGGGAGUUUUAGAGCGGAGAUGAUAGCCAACACUACUUCUCCAUUACAUCUGAGUCAAGGGGAAAGUCCUGAACUGGUACCUUGAUGCAGCAGUAGGCUGCAUAAACUGAGAUUGAAUCCUGGAAAGAUGGAGAGCUUAUAGGUGCAUGGCUCAUAUUUGGGUGAUGGGUCCAUUGCUUGUCCAAUACUAGAACCCAAGUUCUAGUAUUAUUGUGAGGGGGGGAACUUCUUCAUAUCUAUUUUCUCCAUACCAUACAUGAUUUUUUAUAUCUUCUCCCCACCUUUUUCUAAAUUAAAAGGUCCCACAUCUUUCCUCAGAGGAGAGUUGCUCUAACUUCAGUUACUGGUUUGACUAUAUGACUUAGUAUUAUAUGAGUUGUAGUUAUUGUUUUAGUGUGAACAACAUUCCAGUGUAGAGGAACCAUGGAAAGCUAUAAAUUUUCUAUGUCCCAAACUUUCUGCUACAGAACUAGAACCUGUCAAAGCAAAUAACAGAGGACACAUCUGCCUUAAGAGAGAGGUCCUCAAUAAAAAGACAGGAAAACCAUUAUUCCUAUAUGCACUAGGCACUGCAAACCUCAGCCUUUAUUUCUGGCUUCAGGAGAGACAGAAAAACCUGUAGGUGCACUUUCAUUAUUCUAAAACAUUUUUUCCUCUUUCUGUUACAGAAGUCGGGCUAUCUCAUGGAGGUUUCAGCUUGAUUCACUCCAACUGGAUAAGUGCAUUGUAGCUAAUAAUCAACUGAAAAGAUGAAACCAAUGGACUUGGAACACUGACAGCAGUUGGGGUGAGGGGAAUGGAAAUUUGAGAGGAGGAAGAGUGAUAUUGAAUAUCCUGGAAGAGGACAUGGCAGGCUGGGGGACACCCUGAAGAGAAGCACUCCGCCCUGAAACAUUUUGUUGCUCGUCCCAUGUGUUUCCCUUAAUAAGGAAAUCAACUUAAAUAUGGCUGUCCCAGUAUCUAUGAAGCUGAUUUGGAUGAGGGGGGAAAUGUGUUGGUAACGAAAUAUGAUUGUUGCUGAGCCCUGCGUAUAAUUUAGGAAGUUAAGUAUGUCAAGCCCUGUAUAUAAUUUAGGAAGUCUAGCCAAUGGUAAAGUUCACUGAGAGAGAGAGAAAGAGAGACAGAUACGGAAACUUCCACAGCCCAAGGCAGAACAACUAAGUUCAACACCUAACAACAAAAUGGAAAACAUUUAAUGAGCCAGAAAGACACAACAAUGUGCAUACGAUACUUACAAAUAAUUAACAAAUUGCAUUUAAUUUAUGUUGUUGUUUGGCUACGGCUGGUAGAUGUGUGGUGGAGCUCACACUUUGACUAGAGGCCUGCAACCAAAGUUUCAGCUGGGAAAUAUGCCUAGUGUCCAUCUGCACACACACAGCAGGCCGGGGGAGAAUCCCCUGCCUCCAUGCAGUUUCUUUCAGCAAACUUCCGCAUCCUUUCUCAUACCAUCUUAACCACAACUCCAUUCCCCGGUCUCUCUCCCUCCUGUUCAUUAUCCUGUGAUAAAUAGAUUCUUCUAAAAAAUGGCCAUGACUAGAAAGCAUGGCAUUCCGAUUUGUCACUUUCAAGACACACUUUCAAGCUGAUCUUGAGCCUUGCAGCAUCUCUUACACAGGAAUCUUGCCCACCACCUGAGGGAAUCAAAGUAUUAUUUUUGAAUAGAUUCUUAUAAAGCACUUCAGAAUCAAGGCUGGUUAUUAUCUAGACAAUUUAUUACCAUUUUAUUCAUUAGGGGACUAAAGGCUGAGCAACUCAUUGUGAAGCAAGCAUGGAAUACUGUCCCCAACAUUUCCAAUCAAGUGCUAACAUAGGGUGAAGUGGUGCUUAACCCUUUUGUCCAUCCAUCCAUUAUUUCCUUCAGAAAGUACCCACAGGUUGUUUUUAAACCUAUUCCCCCAGCUGGG